AGCCUGUAACCAGCUAGCUUUCUAGUUGUAGAAGUAGCUUCGUAAUGGUGAAAUGCGCCAUGCGAACCUUUCAACCACCAUUCCAGUAUGUUCCCAGUCACCUGAAAUUACAAAUAGAAUCUACAUUAUCAUGAAGAAAAUUAUACGUAUGCAUCGGAGGCAGAAAAUUUAUUCAAGCUCUGAAGUCCCAAACAACUGAAAAUGCUCCAAAACACCAUCACGUGACCCAGUAGCAGACACUACAUCUGCCAAUGAGCAAUGGACAGAACUGAGAAUACCAUAUCAUGAACCGUAGUGAACACUGCUGGCAACAUCCUGUUUUAGGAUCGAUUUCUCUACAUACAAGCCCCACCAGUGCAGUUGGCACACAACAGCAUCCCUCCUGAUCAAGUGAAAAGGAAUCCUAUGACACCGCUUGAUCUUUGUCUGACAUGGAAAUCUGCAAAUCAAAUAAGGUGGAAGAAUAACAUCUGGUUAAAAAAUUUAUGUGGAAAAAUAUCUGCUUUAAAGUGAUGUCAUGAACUGGACGCUGCACUCUUGAUUCCAACACUAAUAUUGUCAAGUUCAUAUUCAGCAAGUUGAAGAUAACUGACACCAUCUUUAAGUAUAAGUUUCACAAAUAUGGUAUUCAGAAGUUUUUUGUUUUCACUACUGAUGUAUAUAUAGUAUAAAAAAAUGGAUUUCUGUAAUAGAAUAAAGUAUUGGAAUACA
Haliotis rufescens (red abalone) is the source of this 711-nucleotide long non-coding RNA. RefSeq lists it as uncharacterized. NCBI's taxonomy places the organism in Eukaryota, Metazoa, Mollusca, Gastropoda, Lepetellida, Haliotidae. The transcript has 6 exons. The record is from RefSeq and is a predicted model, not a curated record.